This 432-nucleotide ribosomal RNA is filed under the name uncultured bacterium. RNAcentral's name for it is "partial 16S ribosomal RNA". It matches the Rfam family "Bacterial small subunit ribosomal RNA", at positions 355 to 780 of the family's 1533-position model. The record is from RNAcentral.
UAGGGAAUCUUCCACAAUGGACGCAAGUCUGAUGGAGCAACGGCCGCGUGAGUGAAGAAGGUUUUCGGACGUAAAGCUCUGUUGUUGGUGAAGAAGGAUAGAGGUAGUAACUGGCCUUUAUUUGACGGUAAUCAACCAGAAAGUCACGGCUAACUACGUGCCAGCAGCCGCGGUAAUACGUAGGUGGCAAGCGUUGUCCGGAUUUAUUGGGCGUAAAGCGAGCGCAGGCGGAAGAAUAAGUCUGAUGUGAAAGCCCUCGGCUUAACCGAGGAAUUGCAUCGGAAACUGUUUUCUUGAGUGCAGAAGAGGAGAGUAGAACUCCAUGUGUAGCGGUGGAAUGCGUAGAUAUAUGGAAGAAUACCAGUGGCGAAGGCGGCUCUCUGGUCUGCAACUGACGCUGAGGCUCGAAAGCAUGGGUAGCGAACAGGAUUA